GGAGCAUCGGCUCUAUCUGGAAUCGCGUAUUAGAUCGGGCGGCUGGGAAUGGAUCGAGAGGCGGAACCCUGCGUCCAAGUAUCCGACUGAUUUCGGCUUGGUGUCAAUUGAGGACUCGGUGAGAGGAGAGCUGAUUGAGGAGAUUGAAGAAUUGGAGCUUGUGAAGGAUGUGAAUGUAGAUGCAAGUCAUGUCAGGGGUUUGUUAACCGA
This 210-nucleotide unclassified non-coding RNA is filed under the name Hevea brasiliensis (rubber tree). Lineage: Eukaryota; Viridiplantae; Streptophyta; Magnoliopsida; Malpighiales; Euphorbiaceae. The record is from RNAcentral.